Molecule: ribosomal RNA, 253 nt
Filed under: uncultured bacterium
Lineage: Bacteria
Description: partial 16S ribosomal RNA
Rfam family: Bacterial small subunit ribosomal RNA
Source: RNAcentral
GACGUAGGGCGCGAGCGUUGUCCGGAUUUAUUGGGCGUAAAGAGCUCGUAGGCGGCUUGUCGCGUCGACUGUGAAAACUCGGGGCUCAACUCCGAGCUUGCAGUCGAUACGGGCAGGCUAGAGUUCGGUAGGGGAGACUGGAAUUCCUGGUGUAGCGGUGAAAUGCGCAGAUAUCAGGAGGAACACCGGUGGCGAAGGCGGGUCUCUGGGCCGAUACUGACGCUGAGGAGCGAAAGCAUGGGUAGCGAACAGG